CUACGGGUCGCUGCAGUUUCGAAUAAUUCACAAUGGGCGCAAGCCUGAUGAUGCGACGUUACGUGAAGGAAGAAAGCUUUAAGUUGUAAACUUCUGUCGUUAAGGAACAAAAAAUUAAGUAGUACUUUUUAUAUUGAGUUAACUUAAAAAGGAAACAGUGGCUAAUUUCGUGCCAGCAGCCGCGGUAAUACGGGAACUGCAAGCGUUGCUCGGUUUUAUUGGGCGUAAAGAGUACGUAGGCUGUUAUAUAUGUUAAUUGUUAAAUUUUAAAGUUAAUCUUUAAAUUUGCUGUUAAAACUUAUAACUAGAAUUUCAAAGAGGUAAGUGGAAUUUCAAGUGUAGCGGUGAAAUGCGUAGAUAUUUGAAGGAACACCAAUGGCGAAAGCAACUUACUGGGUGAUAAUUGACGCUAAAGUACGAAAGUAUAGGGAGCAAAAGGGAUUAGAUACCCCUGUAGUC
Molecule: ribosomal RNA, 459 nt
Filed under: uncultured bacterium
Lineage: Bacteria
Description: partial 16S ribosomal RNA
Rfam family: Bacterial small subunit ribosomal RNA
Source: RNAcentral